GAAGGACGGGCAGCCGGUUGAGGCCGAUCGGAGGUGAGGGUCCCGAUGUCCUGGUGUACAGCUUGGACUUUGGUGGGCAUCUGCGGAUGAUAAAGCGAGUGCAGAACCUGCUUGGCCACUAUCUUAUCCAUGGCUUUCGGCCUGCCUGAUUGGAGACGCCUGGAAGGAGCUGACCAUAGUGGCAGGUGCUGUUUCCAACCAGCUCUUGGUCUGGUACCCAGCAACUGCCUUAGCAGACAACAAACCUGUAGCACCUGACCGACGAAUCAGUGGGCAUGUGGGCAUCAUCUUCAGCAUGUCAUACCUGGAAAGCAAGGGUUUGCUGGCUACAGCUUCAGAAGACCGAAGCGUUCGUAUCUGGAAGGUGGGCGACCUGCGAGUGCCUGGGGGUCGGGUGCAGAAUAUUGGGCACUGCUUUGGGCAUAGCGCCCGUGUGUGGCAGGUCAAGCUUCUAGAGAAUUACCUUAUCAGUGCAGGAGAGGACUGUGUCUGCUUGGUGUGGAGCCAUGAAGGUGAGAUCCUCCAGGCCUUUCGGGGACACCAGGGACGUGGG
This 553-nucleotide small RNA is filed under the name Pongo abelii (Sumatran orangutan). RNAcentral's name for it is "processed transcript". Lineage: Eukaryota; Metazoa; Chordata; Mammalia; Primates; Hominidae. The record is from RNAcentral.